This 301-nucleotide ribosomal RNA is filed under the name uncultured bacterium. RNAcentral's name for it is "partial 16S ribosomal RNA". It matches the Rfam family "Bacterial small subunit ribosomal RNA", at positions 509 to 807 of the family's 1533-position model. The record is from RNAcentral.
CAGUCGCCGCGGGAAUACAGAGGGUGCGAGCGUUAAUCGGAUUUACUGGGCGUAAAGCGUGCGUAGGCGGCUAAUUGAGUCGGAUGUGAAAUCCCCGAGCUUAACUUGGGAAUUGCAUUCGAUACUGGUUAGCUAGAGUGUGGGAGAGGAUGGUAGAAUUCCAGGUGUAGCGGUGAAAUGCGUAGAGAUCUGGAGGAAUACCGAUGGCGAAGGCAGCCAUCUGGCCUAACACUGACGCUGAGGUACGUAAGCAUGGGGAGCAAACAGGAUUAGAUACCCCGGUAGUCCCUGUCUCUUAUAC